UACGUAGGGCGCAAGCGUUGUCCGGAAUUAUUGGGCGUAAAGGGCUCGUAGGCGGUCCGUCGCGUCGGGAGUGAAAACUCGGGGCUCAACCCCGAGCCUGCUUUCGAUACGGGCAGACUGGAGUACUGCAGGGGAGACUGGAAUUCCUGGUGUAGCGGUGGAAUGCGCAGAUAUCAGGAGGAACACCGGUGGCGAAGGCGGGUCUCUGGGCAGCAACUGACGCUGGGGAGCGAAAGCGUGGGGAGCGAACAGG
Molecule: ribosomal RNA, 253 nt
Filed under: uncultured bacterium
Lineage: Bacteria
Description: partial 16S ribosomal RNA
Rfam family: Bacterial small subunit ribosomal RNA
Source: RNAcentral